This 510-nucleotide ribosomal RNA is filed under the name uncultured bacterium. RNAcentral describes it as "partial 16S ribosomal RNA". It matches the Rfam family "Bacterial small subunit ribosomal RNA", at positions 28 to 507 of the family's 1533-position model. The record is from RNAcentral.
GACGAACGCUGGCGGCGUGCUUAACACAUGCAAGUCGAACGAAGAGCGAUGGAAGCUUGCUUCUAUCAAUCUUAGUGGCGAACGGGUGAGUAACGCGUAAUCAACCUGCCCUUCAGAGGGGGACAACAGUUGGAAACGACUGCUAAUACCGCAUACGAUCCAAUCUCGGCAUCGGGACUGGAUGAAAGGUGGCCUCUAUUUAUAAGCUAUCACUGAAGGAGGGGAUUGCGUCUGAUUAGCUAGUUGGAGGGGUAACGGCCCACCAAGGCGAUGAUCAGUAGCCGGUCUGAGAUGAUGGACGGCCACAUUGGGACGGAGACACGGCCCAGACUCCUACGGGAGGCAGCAGGGGGGAAUCUUCCGCAAUGGACGAAAGUCUGACGGAGCAACGCCGCGUGAGUGAUGACGGCCGUCGGGUUGUAAAGCUCUGUUAAUCGGGACGAAUGGUUCUUGUGCGAAUAGUGCGAGGAUUUGACGGUACCGGAAUAGAAAGCCACGGCUAACUACGUG